Molecule: long non-coding RNA, 1775 nt
Filed under: Zea mays
Lineage: Eukaryota; Viridiplantae; Streptophyta; Magnoliopsida; Poales; Poaceae
Description: long non-coding RNA (ZMAY_LNC002911)
Source: RNAcentral
GCACUUAUGUGCGCCAAAAGCGAGAGGCCGCAGGGGGCGCUGGCAGCAGCGCGCGCAAGGAAGGCACGGGCGCUGGCAGCAGCGCACGCAAGGAAGGCAUGGCAAAGGAAAGCGCGCACAAGGAAGGCAUGGCAAAGGAAGGCAUGGCAAAGGAAAGCGCGCACAAGGAAGGCAUGGCAAAGGAAAGCGCGUGCAAGGAAGGCAUGGCAAAGGAAGGUGACUGAUUUGGUGGCUAAAUUGAUAGACCUAAAUUUAGGGGAGAUGAUUUCAAUUAGUCACUUGCCUAAUUAGUGGUUGCCUAGUUUGUCAACCGGUGGCCUAUAUAUAGGCCUGUACGCAGGAGACAAAUGAAGGAGGAAUAUAUUAUCAAACCAAUCUCUCUCUCUCUUGCAAUGACUCUCAAGCGCCUAGGGCUGCUACCCUAGAACCAAGCCUGCGGCAGAGGGGUAUAACCUCGCCGGAGAAGACAGCUAUCCUCAUGGACCGAAGGUCCAUGACACCUGGUAUCAGCUCCAGGUUAUCCUCACCACCACCAGCCGCCCAUACCUCACCACCACCAGCCGCCGCGCCAUCAGCCGCCGCAACGACCUCCCACCCGCCCUCUCCAACUCUAGAUGCAUUCACUCGGCUCAAAGAGAGUUUUGGCCGCUUCACAGAGCAGUGGGAUCAGUUCGUUGUGAUGUUCCACCGCUACAAGGAGAAGACAGAGAAGGAACUCCAAGCAGCGGUGCGGCUUCAGACGGCAGCGCGAGGGUUCCUGGCACGCCGCCAGGUACAGUCCCUUCGUGGGGAGAAGCACCUUGCUGUGGCCUCCAGGGCCACCCCAUGGCCGUCAUCACAUGAGCAGGCCGUGGUGCGCCUGCAAGCCGCAGUGCGCGGCUUCCUUGUUAGGCGGGCGGUGCGGAAGCUGCACUUGCUGAUCAGCUCAUCGCUGCACCAACUCGCAGCCUGCGUGCCCAACCACCAGGUCUCAUCUAUACUUUUUGAACCCCCUGCAGAAGUAGAGAUCUGGGUAUGCAGCCCCCCUGCACGGCCAAAGAGGGUCGUCUCCUUCAUUCGGGCACCUGCCUUGGUGUUGGACAGACCCAACAUAAGAACGGGCUGGUUCCUCCUCCACCUUUCAUCCAACGUCAAGGCCGCAAUUCAGCUCUUUCCUUGGGAUCCAGGAGGACAGGAGGACAUAGCUGCAGUUCAAAUUUAUAUUUUAGUUCCACAAUUAUUUUAUAUUUUCGUCUUAAAUAAUAAAGGUAAGCCGAGAUGUAAAAGGCUUAACCUUAAGUCGUGUCAGGUAAGUCUAUGGCAGCUCGAGGACAAGCUGGUCCUCAAGGGAGGGGGAGAUGUCAUGGGCAUCAUAGGGAGCGGUCACUCAUGUGGGGUCGCACUUAUGUGCGCCAAAAGCGAGAGGCCGCAGGGGGCGCUGGCAGCAGCGCGCGCAAGGAAGGCACGGGCGCUGGCAGCAGCGCACGCAAGGAAGGCAUGGCAAAGGAAAGCGCGCACAAGGAAGGCAUGGCAAAGGAAGGCAUGGCAAAGGAAAGCGCGCACAAGGAAGGCAUGGCAAAGGAAAGCGCGUGCAAGGAAGGCAUGGCAAAGGAAGGUGACUGAUUUGGUGGCUAAAUUGAUAGACCUAAAUUUAGGGGAGAUGAUUUCAAUUAGUCACUUGCCUAAUUAGUGGUUGCCUAGUUUGUCAACCGGUGGCCUAUAUAUAGGCCUGUACGCAGGAGACAAAUGAAGGAGGAAUAUAUUAUCAAACCAAUCUCUCUCUCUCUUGCAAUGAC